Molecule: transfer RNA, 58 nt
Filed under: Caprella penantis
Lineage: Eukaryota; Metazoa; Arthropoda; Malacostraca; Amphipoda; Caprellidae
Description: tRNA-Glu
Source: RNAcentral
AUUUCUAUAGUGUAAAAAACAUAUUGUCCUUUCAAGACAAAGAUAUUUUUUAGAAAUU